Molecule: non-coding RNA, 115 nt
Organism: Triticum aestivum (bread wheat)
Lineage: Eukaryota; Viridiplantae; Streptophyta; Magnoliopsida; Poales; Poaceae
Source: Rfam
CAACUACUCCCUCUGUUCCAAAUUACUUGUCGUAGGUAUGGAUGUAUCUAGAAGUAUUUUAGUUGUAGAUACAUCCAUUUUUGCGACGAGUAAUUUGGAACGCAGGGAGUAUCAU